RNAcentral lists this small RNA (1172 nucleotides) under Pan troglodytes (chimpanzee). RNAcentral's name for it is "transcribed unitary pseudogene". The record is from RNAcentral. Lineage: Eukaryota; Metazoa; Chordata; Mammalia; Primates; Hominidae.
UUGUUCUGCGUGUUUAGGCAGAAACAUAACUCAGAGAAUGGGGUUCCCGCUCCUCAGCCUAAGCCGGAGGCGACGGUUUCCGCUGCUGCUUCCCUUGGCAGUGACCUGCCACGCCCUGGUCGGCUGCCUUUUGCAAUCUGUUCUUGAAGGAAGUUCCAGCCCAUCGCAUCUUCCUAGAAACAAGUCCGACCACGAUCAGGGUUGUUGUGAAAUAGUAGCUAAAUUAGCCGGGUCUCGUGACUUUUGGACUCUCUCCUCCAAACGCCUUAUAGCUAUGUUGCCUGUUGAUCCUGUUAAAGAAAAUUAUGUUCAUAAAGCGGAAAACUGUAUUUUAUGUAUCUUUUUCUGAACUCCUUUCAAAUCAAGAGUACGUCUUGUAGCAGUUUCAAAGGAAGUUCUAGAAAAUAUUUUGGACCUUGAUUUAUCUGUUUCAGAAACAGAUGAUUUUAUCCACCUUGUAAGUGGCGAAAAGACAGUGUUUGGAUCCAUUCCACUGGCUCACCGAUAUGGGGGCAACCAGGUGCAGUAGUGCUGCAUGCUGCAGGAUCAUGGUUCAGAACUUGAUCAUUAGAAAUUUUGGCUCAUUAUGGUGAACUAGAGAUACUGAGGGGAUUAUUAGACUUCAUCAUACAGGAACAUUAUCCCUCGAUGGAUGUCAAAGAACCUAAUAGAUACGUGAAUCUUUUCCAUUCUGGAUAAUUUAAUGAAGGUAAAAAAAUAUUUUAUAAGCAUGUUUUGGAAUUUUUUUUUGUUGUUUUACGUGUUUGUAAUACUGAUAACUUCAGUUUGUUAUCCAUUACAAUUGACUACGGUCCGUUUGGCUUUAUGGAAGCCUGUAAUCCCGAUUUGGUACAAAACACAUCUGAGAAUGAAAGAAGAUAUAAAAUAGGAAAUCAGGCCAAUAUUAGGAUGUUUAAUUUUAACAAGUUGUUACAAGCUCUAAACCCAUUGCUGGACCCUAGGCAAAAAGCAGCUGUGAGUAAAUCCUUAAUAACAUGAAUGACUCAGAUUCUGAAGGAAGAAAAGGAAUGGCAACUGUUAACCCUAGGUAUGUGCUGAGGAACUGGAUGGCAGAAUCUGCAGUGCAGAAAGCAGAAAGGAAUGAUUUCUCAGAGGUGCAUCUUCUCCAGCAAGUUCUUCAGCAUCCUUUCCAGAAGCAUUCGGCAGCCGAG